CUUACUCGAACCGUCCUGACCGCGUAGCUCAGUUGGAAGAGCAUUGGGCUAGUAUUCCAAAGGUCGUAGGUUCGAAUCCCACCGUGGCCGGGCAUAUUUUUCAAGCUCGCCCGGUGUGGAUACGCACUCAGAGUAACAUCGCAAACAUAUUAUUCACCUGAGUACACAACACCAGCACAGAAAAAAAUCAUAUUACAAGAACACAUUGGUAUUGAAGGAACUAGAUACUGUUCCGAAAUAUCACUUACUCGAACCGUCCUGACCGCGUAGCUCAGUUGGAAGAGCAUUGGGCUAGUAUUCCAAAGGUCGUAGGUUCGAAUCCCACCGUGGCCGGGCAUAUUUUUUAAGCUCGCCCGGUGUGGAUAUGCACUCAGAGUAACAUCACAAACAUAUUAUUCACCUGAGUACACAACACCAGCACAGAAAAAAAUAUUCAUAUUACAAGAAUACCUUGGUAUUGAAGGAACUAGAUACUGUUCCGAAAUAUCACUUACUCGAACCGUCCUGACCGCGUAGCUCAGUUGGAAGAGCAUUGGGCUAGUAUUCCAAAGGUCGUAGGUUCGAAUCCCACCGUGGCCGGGCAUAUUUUUCAAGCUCGCCCGGUGUGGAUAUGCACUCAGAGUAACAUCACAAACAUAUUAUUCACCUGAGUACACAACACCAGCACAGAAAAAAUUCAUAUUACAAGAACACAUUGGUAUUGAAGGAACUAGAUACUGUUCCGAAAUAUCACUUACUCGAACCGUCCUGACCGCGUAGCUCAGUUGGAAGAGCAUUGGGCUAGUAUUCCAAAGGUCGUAGGUUCGAAUCCCACCGUGGCCGGGCAUAUUUUUCAAGCUCGCCCGGUGUGGAUAUGCACUCAGAGUAACAUCACAAACAUAUUAUUCACCUGAGUACACAACACCAGCACAGAAAAAAAUAUUCAUGUUACAAGAACACCUUGGUAUUGAAGGAACUAGAUACUGUUCCGAAAUAUCACUUACUCGAACCGUCCUGACCGCGUAGCUCAGUUGGAAGAGCAUUGGGCUAGUAUUCCAAAGGUCGUAGGUUCGAAUCCCACCGUGGCCGGGCAUAUUUUUCAAGCGCGCCCGGUGUGGAUAUGCACUCAGAGUAACAUCACAAACAUAUUAUUCACCUGAGUACACAACACCAGCACAG
Molecule: non-coding RNA, 1158 nt
Organism: Paramuricea clavata
Lineage: Eukaryota; Metazoa; Cnidaria; Anthozoa; Malacalcyonacea; Plexauridae
Source: the annotation of a GenBank genome assembly